Molecule: long non-coding RNA, 3172 nt
Organism: Syzygium oleosum
Lineage: Eukaryota; Viridiplantae; Streptophyta; Magnoliopsida; Myrtales; Myrtaceae
Exons: 3
Source: RefSeq, a predicted model, not a curated record
CAAUCCCGCCAAUUUUUCAGCGGCCGCCUCAUAAAAUUCUUUACCGUCAUCAGUGCAGAGAGAGAGAGAGGGGGAAGCGACGGAAGAGCUCAAGAGAUGGGAGUUCACCCUGAGCGGCAACGCCUUGAAGACCUUGGCUCGCUCCAUCGCUUGCCUCUCCCGCAUCGGCAACGACCUCGCUAUCCAAGCUUCUCCCUCCCAGGUCAUUCGAUUUCUUCUUCUUCUUCUCCGUCUCCGUCUCUCUCCCCCGCAGCUCCGGUCGAAAAGUUCGCGCGUCGCCGCUGAAAUCCAUGCCGAUCGUUCCUCGGCUUCAUCCAUCGAGUGAAAAAGCUGAGUAGUUGCUUCUUCGUGCGCCCUGACGAGCGAUGCUUAGUUUGGAUGAUGCUAUGCUGUUGUUAGGUAUUUGGCUCGUUUCGCUCGAUUCAGUGUCCGAUUGACAAAUUUCAGAGUCCUUCCACCGAUUGCCGAGCGACUGGAGCUUUUGGCGGUGGAUUUGAGGCAGAAAUUUGUUGACCUAGGUUGCGAUUGGCCCCGUCGACGAUGAUUAGAACUUGACGUGCAUAAAAAUCUGAAGUGACUAAAAGAAUCUAAUUCCGUUGAUAGGAUGAUUCAAAGUCAUUAUAUCGUAAGACUAAGGCAAUUCAUUGCUGAAGCCAGGACAACUAUCAGUGGUACUCGCGGAAAAUGUCAGAAUGGCGGAAACCAUAGGAGAAAAACCCUAUGCAUAACCUUCUAUGGGUGCUGCUAUUCUGUCUUGCUGGUUUGUCUAGUUUCUUUGAUGGUAUUAUAUGGAGUUUUGCAACACUGAAUAAGUGAAAAACACAAUUGCGCUCCCUAGCAUAUCUCUUACGUGACCAUACUUUGCAUGACUUCCUUUUGCCUCGUCGCCUUUAACUACCAAACAACAAUAUAAGUUCCAAGUUCUAGGCUCAUGUUUGGCACUUGGCACCAUUUGAUUUGAAAUUAGAAUAGAAAUAGUAUUGAUCUGUGUACAAAUAUCACCUUCUUACUUGUAUAUAUAUCAUAUCAAGAUUCUCAUAUUCGUAUUCAACCUCCAACUUUCCUUUCAUGCACUCAAUUCGUCAAGAUCUGCCUAUCAGUUGAUUACCCUCAAGCCAGACCUCUUUGAUGUGUUUACAGUAUCUGGCGCACAAGUUCAAUUGAGUAUUCUUUUGAAGUCUUUUCAGUCCUCUGAACACCUAUUACAAAUAUUGGUUAUCAAAGUGUGUAAUUACCAGACAUGCAUCAAAGGUUCAAUGGACUCUGCAGCGCUUCAAUGGUAAAGACCUUUCAGUUGUAUGCACAGUGCUCUGAAUGUGUUAUGUUGGAAAUGGUGUAUUUGAUGGUUAAGAUUUGAAACUUAUGGGCAUAGAUGGAAGGGUUAGAGGAUUCCUUUUUCCCCUAAAAAUAAUCUCGCUCCAAUUCUAUGGAAAAAACGAGCAGCAAAUGAAGUCUUGAAACUGACACGUUCAUUGAGAGAAAAUGACUGCAAAGUGCUGUGAUGAGCAUUAAUAAGUCAUAUCAUAUGAGUCCACCAAGAUUAGCUUCUCUAAUUUUUCAUCACGCAAAAGCAGCGUGAACUCUGUCUAAUGGAUUUUGCAGCGCACCAAUAUGACCUAUAAAGCCAACGGAUUCAGAAUAAAGAGAUGGCGGGAACUUAUUAUUUAUUAGAUUCCAUGUGUACGACUUUUACUUCUUUUUGUUGGCCACUUACCAUUUUAAGUCUUUGACUCAAUCAUGCUAACUACAUAUCAUUCUGUAUGUUUUCUAACUACAAUAUAAUUGGAGGUUGUCAAACCUGCAUUAAUUUGAUAAGAAGCUGUACCAUGCAGAGAGACUUGUUUAUCUCACCACGCAAACUGUGAGUUUUUGUUCAUGCAUAUGUGAUGAGGUUUAAACCAAGUUCUUGUCACAUGUAUGCAGGAAUUAAGAAAACAUACUGGAUUACUUGCAAUGUUGACCCUGACGUACAUCAAUUAUCUCCGGAUAGGAGACAAUACCCAAGCAAUUUUGUAGUGAGGCCUCAUGAUCUGAACAGAUUGCUUGCAAAUUCAGUCAUCCCUUCAGGAAAUCACUAUCAUUGCAACUGAAUGCAACUCCAAACCUUCUGAUGCUGCAAGUGAAUUUGGUGGGAAAUCUGUUGAGUUCCAAAGCUACAUCAAUCCUACCAAAUGUAGACAUGAACUAUAUUCUUUUCAACCGAAUAUGGCAAAGAACAUCAUGGUUCAGAUUCUGGUUGCCAAAAACGACUCUUUACUGCACACUCAGCUGUGGAUAGACCCUGCGGAAGAGUUUGUGCAGUAUGCUCAUAGUGGUAACCCAGUGGACUUGACUUUUGCUGUCAAAGAGUUGAAGGCCUAUUUUGAUGGCCCCUAAAUUCGGCAUUGAUGAAGGGGCCUCUUCCAAUUUUGAUGCUGCACUUGUAGUGGCCACCAUUCUCACAUCAGAAUUACAAGAAGGUAAUACUGGACCUUCAGCAAAUGAAAUGCUGGGCCAGGCUGAUACUGGGGAAGCUUCUGGAUAAUCCCUCUAAAACUAUUUUCUUCGUCCUUUGGUUGUGUAGAUGGACAUGGUUUUUCACGACGUCAUCGAAGUAAUUGGGUUGAUGCCAAUGAGGAUGAGAAUGAGGAUGAUGAUAACGAGGAUGGUGUUGACUCUGCGUUCAAUCAACACUGCCAUAUUAUGAAGAUCGAUAGCAUUAUGUUUCCUGUUUAACUAUGAUAGCAUUAUGUUUCUUUUCUCGUUUUUCACCUACUUGACUUUACGUUAGUGCUCGUGCCUAUUUAGCUAGUCCAGCAUGCAAUUAAAGCUGCCAUUUUAACGCGCUUCUUUUUCCCCCUCUCUUUUGUUUUUCAGUAUUAAGUUGAUGUGCUUUGCUGAAGGAGGUGUCGGUAUGGGUAUGUUUCUACACUCGUAUUCUAUCAUAACUCGUUCCUGGCUUCCUGCCAAGAAAAACAGAGCAGCGCCAAUAGAUCCUACAGAAUCACAUGCUUUAUGGACAGGACCUGCUGUUUAGAACUAUUGGAGAUGGUGUUGAAGUUGCUUGUAGUUUUUUCAUUUGUACUAACCUAAAUAGAUCCCUUGCCGUAGAAAGCUUUUCUGCUUUGUCUUUUGGAAACCAUUAUAAGUUAAUCUGUGUAUAUUAAAAAGGAACGGGUCAAAUGGUUUUAGA